Molecule: ribosomal RNA, 253 nt
Filed under: uncultured bacterium
Lineage: Bacteria
Description: partial 16S ribosomal RNA
Rfam family: Bacterial small subunit ribosomal RNA
Source: RNAcentral
UACGUAGGGGGCUAGCGUUGUCCGGAAUCAUUGGGCGUAAAGAGCGUGUAGGCGGCCGAGUAAGUCCGACGUGAAAUCUGGAGGCUCAACCUCCAGCGGUCGUUGGAAACUACUCGGCUAGAGUCCGGAAGAGGAGAGUGGAAUUCCUGGUGUAGCGGUGAAAUGCGCAGAUAUCAGGAAGAACACCGAUGGCGAAAGCAGCUCUCUGGGACGGUACUGACGCUGAGACGCGAAAGCGUGGGGAGCGAACAGG